Molecule: ribosomal RNA, 585 nt
Filed under: uncultured bacterium
Lineage: Bacteria
Description: bacterial SSU rRNA
Rfam family: Bacterial small subunit ribosomal RNA
Source: RNAcentral
CCUACGGGAGGCAGCAGUGGGGAAUUUUGGACAAUGGGCGCAAGCCUGAUCCAGCAAUGCCGCGUGAGUGAAGAAGGCCUUCGGGUUGUAAAGCUCUUUUGUCAGGGAAGAAACGGUGGGGGCUAAUAUCUCCUACUAAUGACGGUACCUGAAGAAUAAGCACCGGCUAACUACGUGCCAGCAGCCGCGGUAAUACGUAGGGUGCAAGCGUUAAUCGGAAUUACUGGGCGUAAAGCGUGCGCAGGCGGUUUUGUAAGUCUGUCGUGAAAGCCCCGGGCUCAACCUGGGAAUUGCGAUGGAGACUGCAAGGCUUGAAUCUGGCAGAGGGGGGUAGAAUUCCACGUGUAGCAGUGAAAUGCGUAGAGAUGUGGAGGAACACCGAUGGCGAAGGCAGCCCCCUGGGUCAAGAUUGACGCUCAUGCACGAAAGCGUGGGGAGCAAACAGGAUUAGAUACCCUGGUAGUCCACGCCCUAAACGAUGUCUACUAGUUGUCGGGUUUUAAUUAACUUGGUAACGCAGCUAACGCGUGAAGUAGACCGCCUGGGGAGUACGGUCGCAAGAUUAAAACUUAAAUGAAUUGACGG